CGGAGGAUCCAAGCGUUAUCCGGAAUCAUUGGGUUUAAAGGGUCCGUAGGCGGUCCUGUAAGUCAGUGGUGAAAGCCCAUCGCUCAACGGUGGAACGGCCAUUGAUACUGCAGGACUUGAAUUACUGGGAAGCAACUAGAAUAUGUAGUGUAGCGGUGAAAUGCUUAGAGAUUACAUGGAAUACCAAUUGCGAAGGCAGGUUGCUACCGGUGGAUUGACGCUGAUGGACGAAAGCGUGGGUAGCGAACAGGAUUAGAUACCCUGGUAGUCCACGCCGUAAACGAUGGAUACUAGCUGUUGGGAGCGAUCUCAGUGGCUAAGCGAAAGUGAUAAGUAUCCCACCUGGGGAGUACGAACGCAAGUUUG
This 366-nucleotide ribosomal RNA is filed under the name uncultured organism. RNAcentral describes it as "bacterial SSU rRNA". It matches the Rfam family "Bacterial small subunit ribosomal RNA", at positions 526 to 896 of the family's 1533-position model. The record is from RNAcentral.